CGGAGGGUGAGUAAUGUCUGGGAAACUGCCCGAUGGAGGGGGAUAACUACUGGAAACGGUAGCUAAUACCGCAUAACGUCGCAAGACCAAAGAGGGGACCUUCGGGCCUCUUGCCAUCGGAUGUGCCCAGAUGGGAUUAGCUAGUAGGUGGGGUAACGGCUCACCUAGGCGACGAUCCCUAGCUGGUCUGAGAGGAUGACCAGCCACACUGGAACUGAGACACGGUCCAG
RNAcentral lists this ribosomal RNA (230 nucleotides) under uncultured bacterium. RNAcentral describes it as "partial 16S ribosomal RNA". It matches the Rfam family "Bacterial small subunit ribosomal RNA", at positions 104 to 334 of the family's 1533-position model. The record is from RNAcentral.